AUCUAUGGCCAUGCUACCCUGAACAAGCCCUAUCCUGUCUGAUUUUGGAAGCUAAGCAGGGUCGGGCCUGGUUAGUACUGGAAUGGGAGACCACCUAGGAAGACCAGGUGCCGUAGGCG
Molecule: ribosomal RNA, 119 nt
Filed under: Pteropus alecto (black flying fox)
Lineage: Eukaryota; Metazoa; Chordata; Mammalia; Chiroptera; Pteropodidae
Source: RNAcentral